UGGGGAAUAUUGCACAAUGGGCGCAAGCCUGAUGCAGCCAUGCCGCGUGUAUGAAGAAGGCCUUCGGGUUGUAAAGUACUUUCAGCGAGGAGGAAGGCGGUAAGGUUAAUAACCUUAUCGAUUGACGUUACUCGCAGAAGAAGCACCGGCUAACUCCGUGCCAGCAGCCGCGGUAAUACGGAGGGUGCAAGCGUUAAUCGGAAUUACUGGGCGUAAAGCGCACGCAGGCGGUCUGUCAAGUCGGAUGUGAAAUCCCCGGGCUCAACCUGGGAACUGCAUUCGAAACUGGCAGGCUAGAGUCUUGUAGAGGGGGGUAGAAUUCCAGGUGUAGCGGUGAAAUGCGUAGAGAUCUGGAGGAAUACCGGUGGCGAAGGCGGCCCCCGGGACAAAGACUGACGCUCAGGUGCGAAAGCGUGGGGAGCAAACA
RNAcentral lists this ribosomal RNA (427 nucleotides) under uncultured bacterium. RNAcentral's name for it is "partial 16S ribosomal RNA". It matches the Rfam family "Bacterial small subunit ribosomal RNA", at positions 355 to 774 of the family's 1533-position model. The record is from RNAcentral.